CCUCGGACGCGCACUCGUUGCCCUGCCCCGCCCCCUCCACCCCGUGCGGCUCACUAUCACGAAUAUUAUAACAGUGACGCAUAGACACCUCUGUGCGUCAGUACAUAUCUACCGCGCAUCCCCUUCUCUUUUUCUUCCCCCACCCACCCACCCACCCACUGCGGAUCUGAAAGCAGAGAGGCCCACACACACGCCCCAAUCGCGUGUUGCGCCGCAGUGUAGGCCCUCGUCCCCUCUCCCCCGUACUUAGUGCUGCCUUCUUCCUGUGACAGAAGAAACAUGCAGACGGCCACUGCCCCUUUCAUUCUGCGUUCCUUGUACAAGGAUGCGCACAUCAGCGACACGCAAAUCGCACGACCGAUCACAGAGUUAAUGAUGAAUACCAUCGGUGCACAGCUCACGAACAAGUACGAUACACACAUCCCUGCAAUAGCCUGCUCCCUCUACACACUCUUUUCGAUGUCUCGAGUGCAGACGCUCGGGCAGGAGUUUUGUGACCUGCUGCCCGUGGUCAAGGCGCAUCCGUGGCAGCCGGUCGGGCCGGCGCGCGUGUUCCUGCUCGCUGUGCUGCAACUUGUCGAGCCGACGGCGGUGUUCAUGGUGGCCCGCAAGCUCUUCCCUGACAUGUCCACGGCCGAUGUUGAGGAGGUGCUGAAGAAGGCAGUACUUUGCGCGCUGUUUCUCUUCGAGCGCUUCGGCACGCUUCCACAUCGCAUCGUGCGGGUACGGUUCCUGAGCCUGAAGCCGUCGCGGGCCUUGCAGGACAGCGAUGGUGCUCCGGGCUCGUACUUUGUUCUUGGCCUCGUGCUGCUGGUAGAGCUGGUCGUGCGCCUUUGGCGUUACAGCAAGGAGCGCACGUCGCGCGAGGCGAAGCGGUCGACUGAGGCGGCCGUCAUCACCAGCAGCGACGAGGAUGCCGAGGACGCGCGGCCCGGGAAGUGCAUGCUGUGCCUGAGCAAUCGCAAGUGCCCAACUGCGACGAACUGCGGCCACAUCUUUUGUUGGCGGUGCAUCGCUGAGUGGAUCCAGUCGAACCCGCAGGAGGCCGUGUGCCCGUUCUGCCGCCAGCACAUCACGACGCAGUCGUUGGUGCCGCUGUACUUCUACGUCGCCAAAGAGCCGCCACGUGUGGGGACCGCGACGGACGACGCCGCCUCACCCGCCACUUGAGGGGGAUAGCUCACUGAAACUUGUCACCGAGACGCAAUGAGGCUCUAGGUGGUAUGUGCGCUCGUGUCCGCCCAUUGGCGCACACGCCUUCAGCAGUGCUGGGCGACUGCGUUGCCAUGGUAGUGUGCAUGCUUUGCUAUUUCCGUUUGUGCUGCGAUGCGCAGCACAGCUUC
Molecule: unclassified non-coding RNA, 1343 nt
Filed under: Leishmania donovani
Lineage: Eukaryota; Euglenozoa; Kinetoplastea; Trypanosomatida; Trypanosomatidae
Description: gene:LdHU3.25.2880(CDS-product:Pex2_/_Pex12_amino _inal_region/Zinc_finger_C3HC4_type_(RING_finger)/Ring_fing er_domain/zinc-RING_finger_domain/Anaphase-promoting_comple x_subunit_11_RING-H2_finger_containing_protein_putative)
Source: RNAcentral